CAGCUGUCUGGUAUUUUCAGAAAAAGAAGUCUACUUACUCUCUUUCUGUAUAGAAACUUUUUCCUGUCACUGUAUACGCCUCAUUUAGAAUUCUUAAUUUGGAAAUUGAGUGUCCAUGAUGCAAAAGUACCAAGUCCUACUAGAAAAUAGUUUUGGGUUGCUUCUUUGAUCCAGAGGUUCCAAGAAAACAAAUAAGUCACAGCUUCUUCUUUGGGAGCUAAAGAGCACUGGAAAAGUUUGAUUACAUCCAGGGAAAAAUGAAGCGGGAAAUAAUGCAAUUUCUAUCAAUAAUGUUAAUAUCUCCAGAGUCUAGAAAUUUUUUUAAUGAAAAUCAUCAACAAAUAUUGUCAAGUUUAAAUUGCUCUAUUGUUUUCUUGAUUUAGGUAUGCUAUUUGGUAAGAGACUCGGGAUACUUAAACAUGGAAGACAAUUUGUGCAAAGUUGGAGGAAAUACUAGAAAUACUAGUGCAAUGGGAGAAAAUGUUGAUAAGAUUUUUAAUGUGAGAACAAGUCUCCUUACUCCAAGGUGGAGAUUUAAUGUAGUUUUAGCCACUGAUCGUCAGUACUUUACCUGUUAUCAGGUGAGAAAGUGCAGGAGUGAAUCUUCCCUUAGUGAGGUGUUGGAACAGGCUGCCCUGGGAGUUGGUGGAGUUGCCAUCCCUGGAGGUUUUCAAGCAAAGGGUAGAUGUCGCACUGAACGACAUGGUCUACAGUGGUCACAGGUAUGGAUUGAUGGUUGGACUGGAUGAUCUUGUUGUUCUUUCCAAUCUUAACAAUUCUAUGAUUCUGCAACUUCCCCCUGCUGUUGCCAGAAGCUAAUUCUGCAGAAUCUGAACCAAAACAAUAAGUACUGCAGAAAGAAUAUCUGGAAAUACAUUUAUCUGUUUGUAGAAUGCUGCUGUGAAAACCUGCCUGAAAGGCUGGAAGCAAAGAUGAACAAGAAAGACCUUCCUAGGACUAACAAACUAAGGAAUGAAGCAUCUGCCCCAGUUGCUGAGAAAAGAGUGGGAAUGGAUUUGAAAGACGACUGGCCUCGUGCGCAGCUCUUUGUGGCUCAGGAGCAAGAUACUUCUUGGAUGACUGUGCUGAUUCUUCCAGAUGUAGAGGUGUUUUCAGGGAAAUGCCUGCAGAUUUUGUCCUACAGAAAGAAGUCCUACAAGAUGCUGGGUUUUGGCCCCUUCCUCUUAUGCAGGAAGGUGAUAGUGAGCACAACCAAGAAUGCCAUGUGUCCCUGGGUGGCACAAAGGAGCAUUGUUUCACAUAAGACAAUCAGACCUUUCCAUGUUUUACAGAAAUAGACUUUUACCUCCCUUUUUAAACAGAGUCAGAACAGGUUUUUACAGUGGCAGAGUACUGGGACCCUUUGGAAAAAGCUCUUCCAUGAGAAGGAGGCUUCUGGAGACCUGCUGGGGAAAUGCUGUGGUGCAGGGGACCACGCUGUGACAAGAGGUUGCAGCCUGUACCCCUGUGGUUAUAUGUGCCUGCUGAGGCCUGUCUUUUUCUCUGUCCCUCUCUGAGCACACACCUGUAUAGGCUGUGAUAUGGUCCUGGGCACGCAGACUUCUAGUCAUAUUUGUGGACUUCACCUGUGAAGGGGAUUUUCAGUUCAAUGAGUAUCCCAGAAAAUGCCUCAUGUCAAAUGCAUCUUUCUGCCUGUAGGAGUGGGUGUCUCUGCUUCCUGCCCAGACUGCAAAACACUCCACCAAUGAUGGGAUAAAGAUUAACUAAAAUUGAAAAUAAGUGAAUUUUCUCUAACUCUGUUUUUUCUUUCACUAACUGCUGUUAAGAUGGAAAUUUACUGCGUUACUCUUGGCAGUUUUGCCUAUUUGGUAACUGGAGUCUCCUCAUCUGGUGGGCCAUUCCCAUAGUUCCCACGUUGUACUCGUUCUUCCUAUCGUAUUUUCCAUUCACGUAUUACUUUCCUAAUAACCACUUCUCAGGCUUCUCUCUUCAUUUAAUAUUUCCUUGUGUGUUUGGCUAGGUUUCUCUGCACUCUUGGUGUGGUGUAUGCCAUGCCAUCAAUGGAACAAGGCAGCACAGCUUUACAUGCUGGGUGUGGGGUUGCUCCUUUGGAGCAGUUCGCUUCAGUUGUGCAUUUCAGUUUUCUCCAGUUCUGUUUUGUGGUAGAUGUCUUCUAUAGCUGUGACUUAUUAAAAUGGAUGCUAUCAGGUCUCGUAAGCAGUUGCAAGCAUCUUGGCUUUGGUGAGGCUGCUUUCUCAGCCAGAGUUGCUGGAGCCCUGUGGUCUGGAGCCUUUACUCUGUCUUGUGGUUCACUGAGGCUCUCUUCUGUUCCUCGCUCCUGGCUGGACAUGUUCCCUUGUUUGCUUUAACUAAGUAUCUUAAGGAAUCUUACUGGUCUAUCUGGUCAUUUGUGGCUUGGCAGUUUUGUCACUCUGACUAUUGCGUGCUUUUUUCCUUUUUUACUUUUCCCUCUGUAUGCCAGGAUGUCUGAAGUACGGUCCUCUCAACUCAGAGCAUCUCUUCAGCUCUCUCAGCCCCUUCCGCUCACAGGCUUUUGUGUGUUGGUCUUGUAAGGUAGAAAAACUCUUUCCAUUAUGACUUCCUUAAAGCGUACAUUUAUAUUAUUUCUCUAGCUUGCUAGUAAAAAACUAAAAGGGACAGAACUCAUCUAAAAAAUCAUCAAGAGUCAUACUUCAGUCACUUUCAGAUUUUUGGCAUACUCAAAACUGGAAAACGUUACUUCUCCCUAACUCUUUCUAUGAGGAAAUGAUGGGCCUAUCUAGAGUCUGAAGGCAGACACUGGCCAUUACAAUUUCUUUCACAUCCUGCAAAAACUGAUGGUUUCAGAGUUGGAGACCCUCUGAUUGUAGCCAGUUGUUCUCAAAGACGUGCUGUAAUCCUUUCCAUUUCUUGUAUUUCUUAAUCACAUUUGAUAGCUUGGUAACUUUCUUUAACCAGAGUAAUGUGUUAAACAUUUUUUUGGCUGCCACAGAGAGAAAUCUAAAUAAAUAUUUUGCUGAACUAGGUUCCA
Molecule: long non-coding RNA, 2992 nt
Filed under: Numida meleagris (helmeted guineafowl)
Lineage: Eukaryota; Metazoa; Chordata; Aves; Galliformes; Numididae
Description: lncRNA (ENSNMEG00000021096.1)
Source: RNAcentral